RNAcentral lists this ribosomal RNA (253 nucleotides) under uncultured bacterium. RNAcentral's name for it is "partial 16S ribosomal RNA". It matches the Rfam family "Bacterial small subunit ribosomal RNA", at positions 524 to 776 of the family's 1533-position model. The record is from RNAcentral.
UACAGAGGGUGCGAGCGUUAAUCGGAAUUACUGGGCGUAAAGCGUGCGUAGACGGUUAUGUAAGUCGGGUGUGAAAGCCCCGGGCUCAACCUGGGAAUUGCAUUCGAGACUGUGUAGCUAGGGUGCGGAAGAGGGAAGCGGAAUUCCACGUGUAGCGGUGAAAUGCGUAGAGAUGUGGAGGAACACCAGUGGCGAAGGCGGUCUGCUGGGCCGUUGCUGACGCUGAGGCGCGACAGCGUGGGGAGCAAACAGG